AACGAACGCUGGCGGCAUGCCUAACACAUGCAAGUCGAACGAGACCCCUGACUUCGGUUGGCGGGUCUAGUGGCGCACGGGUGCGUAACGCGUGGGAAUCUGCCCUUGGGUUCGGAAUAACUCAGAGAAAUUUGAGCUAAUACCGGAUGAUGACGAAAGUCCAAAGAUUUAUCGCCCAGGGAUGAGCCCGCGUAAGAUUAGCUUGUUGGUGGGGUAAUGGCCUACCAAGGCGACGAUCUUUAGCUGGUCUGAGAGGAUGAUCAGCCACACUGGGACUGAGACACGGCCCAGACUCCUACGGGAGGCAGCAGUGGGGAAUAUUGGACAAUGGGCGCAAGCCUGAUCCAGCAAUGCCGCGUGAGUGAUGAAGGCCUUAGGGUUGUAAAGCUCUUUUACCAGGGAUGAUAAUGACAGUACCUGGAGAAUAAGCUCCGGCUAACUCCGUGCCAGCAGCCGCGGU
This 460-nucleotide ribosomal RNA is filed under the name uncultured bacterium. RNAcentral describes it as "bacterial SSU rRNA". It matches the Rfam family "Bacterial small subunit ribosomal RNA", at positions 29 to 521 of the family's 1533-position model. The record is from RNAcentral.